UUCAAUUCCAGCUGCAAGGUGCUCAGUGUUGUGACAAGCUGUGGGUCCUCAAAGCUGAGUACUGAAGGCUGAUUUCUGCUUCUGUUUUCAAGCCUUUCUGGACCCACUGAGGGAAGACAUUUUGUUGCUUGAAUUCAGAGGAGAAAGACAAGGGUGUUCCAGUGGCCAGCAUCCUCCUUCCUCCUGAUUUUUCAUAACAAGUGGUCAUUUCACACAGAAAUCCUGGGAGGCCCACUGAGAUCCAUCUCCUGGCUUCUCAUCUGCCCACAAGCAUGCAGUUGCAUUUAUCCCCCUGCUUCACACAGACUCAUCAAGCCUCCCCAGGGAGUUUUUAAGCUGCAAGGUGCUCAGUGUUGUGACAAGCUGUGGGUCCUCAAAG
This 379-nucleotide long non-coding RNA is filed under the name Mus musculus (house mouse). RNAcentral's name for it is "predicted gene 3287". Lineage: Eukaryota; Metazoa; Chordata; Mammalia; Rodentia; Muridae. The record is from RNAcentral.